This 814-nucleotide ribosomal RNA is filed under the name Favolaschia sp. DUKE2708. RNAcentral describes it as "eukaryotic LSU rRNA". The stretch from base 421 to 574 matches the Rfam family "5.8S ribosomal RNA". Lineage: Eukaryota; Fungi; Basidiomycota; Agaricomycetes; Agaricales; Mycenaceae. RNAcentral also lists the same sequence under 1 other name. The record is from RNAcentral.
CAUUAUUGAAUAACGAUUGGCAUUCGAUGCUGGCCCUUCACUGGGCAUGUGCUCAUGUCGGUCUUAUUUAUCUUCUCUUGUGAACAUUUUGUAGUCAAUGCAUUAAUAGGAAAACCUAUGCGCACUUUCAUUAGUUGCGGUCUGAGGGUUGAGUUAAGUCUUCCCUUGUUUCCUUUAUGCGCGCUCAAUCGUUAGUUCGAUUGAGCGCGGUCUGGGAGUUGUUAACCCUUCUCCUGAAUGCAUUCGCGCUUUCAUUAGUGCGGUUUGAGGGUUGAGUCAAGUCUUCCCUUGUUCUUAUGCGUCGGGGAGUUGUUAACCCUUCUCCUGAAUGCAUUGACUAUGUUUUCAUAUACCCUGUAUAAAGUCUUAGAAUGUUAACUUAAGUUGAUUGCGCUCGUCGUAGUCCUUAAAACCCUAUACAACUUUCAGCAACGGAUCUCUUGGCUCUCCUAUCGAUGAAGAACGCAGCGAAAUGCGAUAAGUAAUGUGAAUUGCAGAAUUCAGUGAAUCAUCGAAUCUUUGAACGCACCUUGCGCCCUUUGGUAUUCCGAAGGGCAUGCCUGUUUGAGUGUCAUUAAAUUAUCAACCUCUCUCUCCACUUUGCGGCUUGAGUUAGGCUUGGAUGUGAGGGUUUGCUGGCUUCCUUUAGUGGAUGGUCUGCUCCCUUUAAAUGCAUUAGUGGGAUCUCUUGUGGACCGUCACUUGGUGUGAUAAUUUAUCUACGCCGCUUGACUUUGAAGCAAACUAAUGGGAACCUGCUUAUAACCGUCCAUUGACUUGGACAAAUUUACUUGACAAUUUGACCUCAAAUCAG